GGUUGAUCCUGCCAGGAGUUAUAUGCUUGUCCCAAAGAUUAAGCCAUGCAUGUGUAAGUAUAAAUGCUUUGUACUGUGAAACUGCGAAUGGCUCAUUAUAUCAGUUAUAAUUUACUUGAUGGUCCCUUACUACUUGGAUAACCGUGGUAAUUCUCCGGCUAAUACAUGCGGCUCUUCGGAGGGUAUUUGUUAGACUCAAACCAGCGCCGGCAACGGCCUCGGCGACACAUGACAACUGCACGGAUCGCACGACGUUGGUCGGCGACGCUUCAUUCAAAUUUCUGCCCUAUCAA
RNAcentral lists this ribosomal RNA (293 nucleotides) under uncultured eukaryote. RNAcentral describes it as "partial 18S ribosomal RNA". It matches the Rfam family "Eukaryotic small subunit ribosomal RNA", at positions 6 to 318 of the family's 1831-position model. The record is from RNAcentral.